This 253-nucleotide ribosomal RNA is filed under the name uncultured bacterium. RNAcentral's name for it is "partial 16S ribosomal RNA". It matches the Rfam family "Bacterial small subunit ribosomal RNA", at positions 524 to 776 of the family's 1533-position model. The record is from RNAcentral.
UCCGUAGGUGGCGAUCGUUGUCCGGAAUUACUGGGUGUAAAGGGCGUGUAGGCGGGGCGGCAAGUCAGAUGUGAAAUUCCGGGGCUUAACCCCGGCGCUGCAUCUGAAACUGUCGUUCUUGAGUGUCGGAGAGGAAAGUGGAAUUCCCAGUGUAGCGGUGAAAUGCGUAGAGAUUGGGAGGAACACCAGUGGCGAAGGCGGCUUUCUGGACGAUAACUGACGCUGAGGCGCGAAAGCGUGGGGAGAAAACAGG